Molecule: non-coding RNA, 90 nt
Filed under: uncultured Colwellia sp.
Lineage: Bacteria; Pseudomonadati; Pseudomonadota; Gammaproteobacteria; Alteromonadales; Colwelliaceae
Description: Cyclic di-GMP-I riboswitch
Rfam family: c-di-GMP-I riboswitch aptamer
About the family: GEMM was predicted in a large-scale screen for bacterial structured RNA regulatory elements. Genes associated with GEMM are involved in a diverse array of functions, including chemotaxis regulation, signal transduction, secretion and chitin.
Source: RNAcentral
GAAAAGGCAAAACACGCGAAAACGUGUGACGCAAAACCACCGGUCUAAGGAUUAAGUUAAUAUAUUUAACUUAAUCUAUGACAGCGGAGU